This 406-nucleotide ribosomal RNA is filed under the name uncultured bacterium. RNAcentral's name for it is "partial 16S ribosomal RNA". It matches the Rfam family "Bacterial small subunit ribosomal RNA", at positions 30 to 526 of the family's 1533-position model. The record is from RNAcentral.
AUUGAACGCUGGCGGCAGGCUUAACACAUGCAAGUCGAACGAGUGGCGCGCGGGUGAGUAAUGCUUGUUACUCUAUCUUGUGGAUGGGGAUAACUACGGGAAACUGUAGCUAAUACCGCGUACCUUGGGCUGCGCCCACGUGGGAUUAUGUAGUUGGUGGGGUAAAGGCUCACAGAGGCGCCGAUCUCUAGCUGGUCUGAGAGGAUGACCAGCCACACUGGGACUGUGACACGGCCCAGACGUCUACGGGAGGCAGCAGUGGGGAAGAUUGCGCAAUGGGGGCAAGCCUUAUGCAGCCAUGCCGCGUGAAUGAAGAAGGCCUUCGGGUUGUAAAGUUCUUUCGGUAGGGAGGCGUUAACUACAGAAGAAGCACCGGCUAACUCCGUGCCAGCAGCCGCGGUAAUUC